GACACCCAAAGAGACUCAGUGACUCGUCCAAGGUCGCACUGGCAGUGAACAGUGGAGUCGGCGAUGGCAUCCCCCUAACGAGCAGCCCCUCCAGCCAGUCUCUGUAAAGACAGCUGACACUGCAGCUCGAGGGAGCACUGUGUGUGCCCACCUUGCCCUGCAGCAGUCUGGCUGCUGUAUGCUGCAUCACUGAAAAGUGUGCGUUGUCCUAAACGAUUGCCUACUUCUCGAGUUCAGAUCACAUCUCUCCUUGUCACUCCCAUCCGAUUUUCUGGUCUUCUUCCCCAUUGCAAAAGCAAAGUCAGGAUGACACAUCAGCAGGCAACAGAAGGGCAGCACUAUGGAGAAUGUUGUGCGAGGACUCAUUCCUCAUCCACUCUCAGCCAUGUAGUUGUGAGCGGCCCUGAUUAGUCUCAGCAAACCAACUUCUUCCAUCCCUUGGCCACUGGGCUUGGUGCUGGUUACUGAGAGUCAGGACUGAGACCUUUAUUCGGCUCUCAGAAAGGAGACCCUGGACAUGAAGCACAUGAAGUACGGAGCUGCCCAAACCCCCUUAUAACCACGAUGGGAGAGCUUAUCUGGGAAUAUGGCCAACGUUCAGAGGAGAGGGGAGCCAUGUGGAGAGAGGACCAGGUCCUGGUCAUAUUAUUUUUCCUCCUAUUGCUACUUCUGAACAGCUGCAUCUGAACUCGAACACAGCAUGUGCUGGGAUCAGUAGCCAUCUUGGACCCAAUGAUGAGGUCAACCCCCUAGAAGAAACAGAGCAACUAGCAGGAAGGAGCCCAGGACUGGAUGACUUCCUGCAGCAGAGCCACAGGACCUGGCUCUGUGUACAUGUGAAAGAGAAAUACAUUUCAAUCUCAUUAAAGUCACUAUCUACUUAAGAGUCUUUGUUUUAGUAAC
Molecule: long non-coding RNA, 903 nt
Organism: Phyllostomus hastatus (greater spear-nosed bat)
Lineage: Eukaryota; Metazoa; Chordata; Mammalia; Chiroptera; Phyllostomidae
Exons: 3
Source: RefSeq, a predicted model, not a curated record